AUUGAACGCUGGCGGCAUGCCUUACACAUGCAAGUCGAACGGCAGCACGGGUGCUUGCAGCUGGUGGCGAGUGGCGAACGGGUGAGUAAUACAUCGGAACAUGUCCCGUCGUGGGGGAUAGCCCGGCGAAAGCCGGAUUAAUACCGCAUACGAACCACGGAUGAAAGCGGGGGACCUUCGGGCCUCGCGCUAUAGGGUUGGCCGAUGGCUGAUUAGCUAGUUGGUGGGGUAAAGGCCUACCAAGGCGACGAUCAGUAGCUGGUCUGAGAGGACGACCAGCCACACUGGAACUGAGACACGGCCCAGACUCCUACGGGAGGCAGCAGUGGGGAAUAUUGGACAAUGGGCGAAAGCCUGAUCCAGCAAUGCCGCGUGUGUGAAGAAGGCCUUCGGGUUGUAAAGCACUUUUGUCCGGAAAGAAAUCCUUGGCUCUAAUACAGUCGGGGGAUGACGGUACCGGAAGAAUAAGCACCGGCUAACUACGUG
Molecule: ribosomal RNA, 486 nt
Filed under: uncultured bacterium
Lineage: Bacteria
Description: partial 16S ribosomal RNA
Rfam family: Bacterial small subunit ribosomal RNA
Source: RNAcentral